Molecule: transfer RNA, 69 nt
Filed under: Marmota monax (woodchuck)
Lineage: Eukaryota; Metazoa; Chordata; Mammalia; Rodentia; Sciuridae
Description: tRNA.Ala
Source: RNAcentral
GGAUGUAGCUCAGGGGUAGAGUACUUGCCUAGCAUGUGCAGGGCCCCCUGGGUUGAAUUCCCAGCACCA